This is a non-coding RNA of Ameiurus melas (black bullhead), 66 nucleotides long. The record is from the annotation of a GenBank genome assembly. NCBI's taxonomy places the organism in Eukaryota, Metazoa, Chordata, Actinopteri, Siluriformes, Ictaluridae.
UCCCUGGUUGUCUAGUGGUAAGGAUUCGGCGCUCUCGCGGCCCGGGUUCGAUUCCCGGUCAGGGAA